RNAcentral lists this long non-coding RNA (991 nucleotides) under Marmota monax (woodchuck). The record is from RNAcentral. Lineage: Eukaryota; Metazoa; Chordata; Mammalia; Rodentia; Sciuridae.
CUGGGUUUAGAAGGGUGGCCGCAUUGAUGUGUCUUCCUGCCCCAUUUUUUAUUGGAAAGAAGAAAUGCAGAAUUUUGUUCAUAAUACAUUUACUGGGGAUUUGGAUCCAAUGUGUGGCAAGCUUUGACGGCACUAUAACGUGGUCAACAGUGGUUGUUAGGUUUCAGUGGAAGUGUGACAUUUGGACAUCUUGUCUCAGGACUUUUGAUUGGUUGAAGGCCAUAGUGGCCUCAGAGUUGCUGGCACCAGAGCUAAGAGACAAUGGGUGAUGGCAUAACGUGGUUCAGAGAGCUGCUGCUACAGCCUUCGAAGGAGCUCCAGCAAGCCUAGACCACUAGAUCAGACUCUACACAGACCCAACCCCAACCUGGUUUCUGCAUAAAGACCAACUCUUCAGAAAGGAAGGCUUUUAUUAACAUCUGUCACUCUCCCUCCACCCCCUCCUUCAGUGACAUGAUCCAGGACAAGCUGCUUCAAAUGCUGGAGGAAGACCAAGCUGUUUUUGCAUCCCCAUGUAUCUGGUCACAGGCUGAACUGGAUGCAAAAGGCCAAUGUUUAUGGCAGAGCUGUGAUUUAUUGCAGGAGUCGUGGUCACCAUUGCCAGGAAGGACCUUGUGGACAAAUACAGCUUGUAGCUGAAUCCAGAACAGCACAUGUUGAAAAAAAUCAGCCUUUUCUAGGCUCCAUCUUGCAGCAGAACAUCUGCUCCCAGUAGCCCUAGGAUCCAAGAGCUGGGGAGCCUGUGUGCCCCUGGCUCCCAGACAGCUGAGGGAGGACAUGAGAAGCCUUACCUUACCCUUUGGCUGGAGGUACCCGACCUCCCACAACUGGAUGGAGACCUGGGGCUGUUGCUGGAGAUCAGGGGGAACCAACUGGUGAUGGGGAGCCCCCAGCAGCUGUAUCAUCUGCAUGCUUCCACCCCUGUGUGCAACUUUGAGGAGGGCAAGGCAGCUUUUCACCAGAAGAGAAAGCAACCAAUGGUGGCCAUGCC